Molecule: unclassified non-coding RNA, 213 nt
Filed under: plant metagenome
Description: partial contains small subunit ribosomal RNA and internal transcribed spacer 1
Rfam family: Eukaryotic small subunit ribosomal RNA (bases 1-46)
Source: RNAcentral
AAGUCGUAACAAGGUCUCCGUAGGUGAACCUGCGGAGGGAUCAUUACUGAGUGAGGGCGUCAACGCCCGACCUCCAACCCAUUUGCUUGAAUCCGAAACCAUCCUGUUGUCCCUCGGGGGCGGACCGGCCUUCCGGGCUUGUGCGGGGCCCUCGGUGGACCACAUAUCAACUCUGCGUCUUUGCGUCCGAGUCUUAUGAUAAAUCAAUCAAAA